GUUACAGAAGUGUUGGUCUUCAGCUCAGCUGCAGCUAUGCCUCUCUCUGGCUUUGAACACUGCUGAUUUUGGACCCCAGCCUGUGGAUUGACUUUCUGACUCAACCUCAGACUUCCUUCAUCACCACAUUUUUGCUAAUGGACUGGGUGCUUGGCUGCCAUCCCCAAACCUGUCCUGCUUGCUGUGCUUGGUUGCUGCAAGGCUGUACUCUGACAGUGAGGCACCUGCCAUGUCAGCUGCAUUGUGCUUGGCUCCUGGCUCCCCAUCUUUCAGGUAGAAGAAAGAAAUGGCUGAGGAACCUGGAGCAGAAGCAGAAGACACAGAAGGAACAAGCACUCCUAUGGUGGUGUGUCCUCCUCCUGGCACGUAGCCCUGAAUACAGGGAGUCUAUCGCAAAUCUAUAUGAGGUGAUGGGGGCAGAGUGGGUUCUCUAAUUAACAGCAGCAAUAAUUACGGCUGUGCCGGUGUGGGGCGGCCGCUGUCCGUGGUGCUGGAGGCGCCGGCUCUCAGCUGCCGUCGGCUGAGAGCACGAGGGCAGAUGCCAAAAGGAGGGAAAGGAAAUGCUUCAGCUUCAAGAAAAGCCUCGUUGAACUAGCUCAUGCCCUUCUAGCUCUGGGAUAAGGCAACCACAAGACAGAAAGCGACAGACUUUCUUGGUUCCACAGUUAUCAAAAUUACUUGUUCUCAAAAUGAUGAUUCAUCAAAAACUUCUUACAUUUUUGGACACGCCAGAUUGGAUGAUCGCUGUGGAUUCAUCAUCUCCCCAGUUUGCUCGGAGGUACAGAUUAAAAUAUAUGUGUGUGUGUGUAUAUAUAUAUAUCUCUUCUCUAUUCCUCUAAGCAGUAGUUCUGCUUGUAAUAAUGAGAACUGGGUGAUGACUUCACCAGUGAAAACCAGACAAAGCUCCAGACAAGGUGAAAACUCCAGGCGUCAAUGCAUCUUCAAAUCUAGGUAAAUGAAGGAGGAGGAAGAAUGUUCCUGCCCAGACACAGGAAGCAAGGACAUGUGAACUGUGAUGAAAGGAGGGGGAGUUUCUGCUUACUCAACGUAGCUGGGACGUUUUGGAGCUGGGUAUAUUGUGGUUUGAUGCCAGGAUAGCUCACUUGGCAAUGGGUAAUGUAGCUCCAGGGAAGCACUGAGAGUUGAUGGAAGCAAUUCAAGCAUCUUUCUGAUCAACACAAAAUGAAAGCUAAACUAAUAUCCCAAAUAGUUAUGGUAUUUGCUUAGCAGAUUCUUGCACUGAUUUCCUCAACAAACGCUGAAUUAGACAAGGCAAGAAUGAUCUCAUAAUUCUGUAAUGAAACAGAAAAGAGGGCAUGAUUACCAUCAUAAGAAACCAGGAAGGCAGACAGCUGAUACUGAAGUGUGGGGGAGUGCUGAGUCACUGCAUUAAGCGCUGCCAUAGUAACAAUUUACCAGCUGGUUGGGGAUGAAAAGAGAUUGAAAAAACCCGAAAUAAAAUUUGGGCAAGUUGCAGCUUGAAAAUAUAGUACAAGCUUUUUAAAAGAAUUAAUAAAAUGGAACACUUUCAAAGAGUGAUUUUAGUAUUUAGUGUUACUUUGAGCAACAAGGUUACAGCAGAAUAUUGAAUGAACACAGAAGAGAACUGGG
Long non-coding RNA from Gallus gallus (chicken), 1611 nucleotides. Lineage: Eukaryota; Metazoa; Chordata; Aves; Galliformes; Phasianidae. The record is from Ensembl.